AGUCACCCCCAUCGUACCCUUCCCCUCUUUUUCUUUUUGGCAAAAAAAGUUUAAUUCCUCUUUCAGCCAUGGACAGAUCUGUCUACACCAUUUUCAUAUAAGUUGAUAUGUUUCUUAUUCCCUCUCUCCUAUUUCGAGCAAAGGGUACAAACUGGCAAAUAAUUAUCAAACCAAAUCUUCACUUGUUCAAGAAUUGUCAAGGCCGAAUCUCUGCAAAUCUGAAUCAAUAAGGAAAUUCGGUCAAUAUUUCUUCAGAAAAUCUGAACCAGAAAGCUACAUUUUUUAUUCCAAAGCCAACCCAUGACAUCUCUUCCUGUUUCCUUUUGAAAUUCAAAUGGCUAAACUUUCCCUUCAAAUCCCACUCAGAAACUGUAGCUAUAACUUGGGGAUGCACCUAUAAAUACCUCUCGAAAGUUUCAGCCGAGAUCGAUCUUGGAAUCCCUCUAAAAAAUAAAGUUUUAGUAUCUAAAAGAAUCUCCAAGCUAAGUUGUUCAUUUGAUAUGACUAUCAUAUCUGGAAGACCUUAGUGUUGUUUAAUCUUUCAAUGUCAGUUCAAUUCGAUUUAGUUAAAAGAGGAAUAGAUCUGAAGCAUCGCAAGCCCCAAGUUCACUGCCCCAUAAAAGGUAAAAUCCGACUUUUUGAUCAUGUUCUUCACUUAAAGGAAUUGUAUUUGCUUAAAAAAAGCAUGUCUUAAGUUUAUGUUUUAUCUGUUAUAGUGGAAUGCGCAUAGAAUAUUUUCUGAUACUGAGGUGAUGUGAAAAAUCCACACUUUAAGUCACGUUUGUAUCCAAAUUGGCUGUGUUAAAACUUUACUCACUAAACCAUGCUAUUUGCUAUUGUAUUCUCGAAUGUUUGAAGAAGUGAUGGUGUUCUAUACAAUAAAAAUAAUGUUCUUUAGAAUUUUAUGUCUGACAAACAUCCUACAUCAAAAUACUUUUGGAUUUUAUUCUUGACUAAUUUUUAUUUCUUUAUUUUUGAGUUUAAACAUUGUAGUAGAAAAGCAUAGUAUAACGAUUCGACCGGUCGUUUUAAACUUUUGCACUUUUAUCGUCAGUUCUCGGGCAUGAUUUGAUAUGUGGUGUAUUAUAACUUAUGUAAAUCGUUGGUUUUGGUUUCAUGUUAAUCAAAAUAAAUUUGAAGGAACAGUUUCAGCUGAAAGCUUGGAAUUUGGAAGGUUUGACCAAUAGUUAACUAAGCAUAUGAGCCCGAAUCGAAAUUUUUAUGAUAUGGUUAGCUUCGUAAGGUGAUUUAUGACUUAGGAUUAUGAUCGGAAUUAAUUUUGGAGGUCCGGUGUGAAAUUUGGCUUGAAUUGAUGAAGUUAGUAUUUUGGCGAAUUUCGGUUGGUAUGUGAGAUUUUGAUCCGAGAGUCGGAAUAGAAUUCCGAGAGUUUCAAUAGCUUAGUUAUGUCAUUUGGGAUGUGUGUGCAAUAUUUCAGAUCAUUCGGACGUUGUUUGGUAGAGUUUUAGAAGAACUUAGGCUUGAUUUGAUGUAAUUUGUUUGGUUUGGUGUUGUUUGAGGUGUUUUGAUGAUUGGAACAAGUUUAAAUGAUGUUUUAGGGUGUGUUGGUACUUUUGGUUGAGGUCCUGGGGAUCUCUGGGUGAUUUCGGGUGGCUAAACGGGAGGAUUUGGACUUUGAGUUAUUGCAAAAAUUGCAGCAGUUGUGUAGGGGUAUUUUGGUCAUCGCGAGCUUGGGGCCGCAAUCACAUAGAAGGAUUUUGGCAGGCUGGAGUUUUGUUCUACGUGUUCGCGAUAAGGGGUCUGUGAUCGCGGAAGGUGAAUUCUUGGUACUUUGCUUUCGCAGUAAGAAGUUCGCGAUCGCGUAAGAGGACCUAGGACCCAUCAUACUUGUCCAUUGCGUUCGCCGCAUUCGCGUAGAUUGAAAAGUCAAGGCAUCACGUUCGCAUCAGAAAGGUCGCGUUUGCAUAGCACAUUUUUGGAGGCUUGGGAAAUUGCUAUUCGAAAUCGCGUGCCUGGGGCCGCGAUUGCAUUGAAUAAAAAUUAGAGUUGGGCAGAAUAGUUUUUAAACAUUUCCUCCACGAGCUUAGUCAUAUUUUCCUCCAUUAUUAGGCAUUUUGAGAGCUGUUUGGGAAAAUUGAAGAGGGUUUCAAAGAAGAUUGAUUGGAGGUAAGUUCUAUAAACCAAAAACUGUUGGAAACACGUUCUCAAGGCAUUAUACUAAACGUGUGUUCAUAUUUGUAGGUUUUGAUGAAUGACAAACUAUGCACAAAUUGACACAUNNN
RNAcentral lists this long non-coding RNA (2240 nucleotides) under Nicotiana benthamiana. RNAcentral's name for it is "long non-coding RNA (NBEN_LNC041996)". Lineage: Eukaryota; Viridiplantae; Streptophyta; Magnoliopsida; Solanales; Solanaceae. The record is from RNAcentral.